Molecule: unclassified non-coding RNA, 642 nt
Filed under: Hevea brasiliensis (rubber tree)
Lineage: Eukaryota; Viridiplantae; Streptophyta; Magnoliopsida; Malpighiales; Euphorbiaceae
Source: RNAcentral
GUGAAGCCCCUGCUUCAAUGGAAGUAGAAACAAGUUCAAAUGGACUGGGAACACAUAUUGGGUCUUUUCUACUGCCACCUAAGCCGAAGUUUGAGCCUCUGAAGGCUCAUGAGAUGUCUGAUGGUCGAGUUCAGUUCAGGAAGGUCUCAGUUCCACCACAUAGGUAUUCACCACUCAAGAAAGCAUGGAUGGAAAUCUACACUCCAAUAUAUGAGCAGAUGAAGAUUGAUAUCCGUAUGAAUCUCAAAGCUAGCUAGAAAGGUUGAAUUGAAAACCAGAUCAGAUACACCUGAUGUUAGUAACCUGCAGAAGUGUACAGAUUUUGUACAUGCUUUUAUGCUAGGUUUCGAUGUUAUAGAUGCUAUUGCACUUUUGCGACUGGAUGAGCUGUAUGUGGAAUCUUUCGAAAUCAAAGAUGUUAAAACCCUUAGAGGUGAGCACUUAUCUCGUGCCAUUGGAAGACUGUCGGGUAAAGGUGGCAAAACAAAGUUUGCUAUUGAGAAUGCUACGAAAACAAGGAUUGUGAUUGCUGACACCAAGAUUCACAUAUUAGGAUCUUUUCAAAACAUUAAAAUUGCAAGGGAUUCCCUCUGCAGCCUCAUUUUAGGGUCCCCUGCCGGAAAGGUAUACUCAAAGCUUAGA